AUACGUAGGGGGCGAGCGUUAUCCGGAAUUAUUGGGCGUAAAGAGUACGUAGGCGGUUCUGUAAGCGGGAGGCGAAAGCCCGGGGCUUAACUCCGGUAAGCCUUUCGAACUGCAGGACUUGAGUGCUGGAGGGGAAAAUGGAAUUCCUAGUGUAGCGGGGAAAUGCGUAGAUAUUAGGAGGAACACCAGUGGCGAAGGCGACUUUCUGGACAGUAACUGACGCUGAGGUACGAAAGCGUGGGGAGCAAACAGGAUUAGAUACCCUGGUAGUCCACGCUGUAAACGAUGAGCACUAGGUGUCGGGCUAGCAAUAGUUCGGUGCCGCAGUUAACGCAAUAAGUGCUCCGCCUGGGGAGUACGCACGCAAGUGUGAAACUCAAAUGAAUUGACGGGG
RNAcentral lists this ribosomal RNA (394 nucleotides) under uncultured bacterium. Its description in RNAcentral is "partial 16S ribosomal RNA". It matches the Rfam family "Bacterial small subunit ribosomal RNA", at positions 523 to 918 of the family's 1533-position model. The record is from RNAcentral.